This 138-nucleotide ribosomal RNA is filed under the name Amanita sp. 'aureosubucula'. RNAcentral describes it as "partial 28S ribosomal RNA". It matches the Rfam family "Eukaryotic large subunit ribosomal RNA", at positions 1 to 136 of the family's 3401-position model. The record is from RNAcentral. Lineage: Eukaryota; Fungi; Basidiomycota; Agaricomycetes; Agaricales; Amanitaceae.
UUGACCUCAAAUCAGGUAGGACUACCCGCUGAACUUAAGCAUAUCAAUAAGCGGAGGAAAAGAAACUAACAAGGAUUCCCUUAGUAACUGCGAGUGAAGAGGGAAAAGCUCAAAUUUAAAAUCUGACAGUGUUUCACU